Molecule: long non-coding RNA, 719 nt
Organism: Rhopalosiphum padi (bird cherry-oat aphid)
Lineage: Eukaryota; Metazoa; Arthropoda; Insecta; Hemiptera; Aphididae
Exons: 2
Source: RefSeq, a predicted model, not a curated record
ACUAAUUAAUAAGCAAGUAAGCUACUAGUGACUAAUCAGUAUUCAAAUUGCUUGUAUAAUAUUAAUAGUUAAAUAUUUUAAAUCUAAUUUUUAUAAAACAACAUUUCAUAUUUCAAAAUUGUGCCGGGAGCACAGUAGGUAUUACAGAAAAUAAUAAGUUAGGAAAGUUAAUACUAAUUCCUUUGUUCAUUGGAAUCAAAGUUUUUUUUAUCUUAACGUUCUUACUGGACUAAGGGUUCGUACCUCCCCCAAAAUGUUUUCUUAAAAUGAAAUUGAAUGAUUUUAAAUGUAAAUGUACAUCAUACCAUACUUCAUUUUGAGUGAAUUUUACUGUUGUAGGUAGUUCUGACAUUUUAUCUAUACGGACUUAAUUCAAAGGUAUCAAGAUAAUAAGCUGGACUCAAUUCAAAUACAUAAAAGUAGCAUGGACUCAAUUUAAUAUCACCGGCUCAGUUAACUCACAUAAUACCAAACGCUAGAUUUAAAGAUGUCAUUCAUCCAGGAUGAAAUAAAAAAGUUUGCUAACAAAUAUGCGAAGAAACUUUAAGUACUUACUACACACUGAUACAUUUGCAAAAAAACUGCUUGACAGUUGACACCUUGCAAGACAUUUUACUAUUAUAGAAACACUUGAAGCUGGACGAUUUGAUUUAAGCGACUUAAAUUAAGAACAUAUUAAUCUGUAUAGUUAUAUAUAAAUACCUAUAACUGUUAUAUUA